RNAcentral lists this unclassified non-coding RNA (397 nucleotides) under soil metagenome. RNAcentral describes it as "partial contains internal transcribed spacer 2 and large subunit ribosomal RNA". The stretch from base 1 to 117 matches the Rfam family "5.8S ribosomal RNA", at positions 35 to 154 of the family's 154-position model. The record is from RNAcentral.
GAUGAAGAACGCAGCAAAUUGCGAAAAUUAAUGUGCAUUGCAGUACGUGAAUCAUCGAGUCUUUGAACGCAACUUGCACUCUAGGUUCUCUCCUAGAGUAUGCCUAUUUGAGUAUCGGUAACACUCCACUCAAACCCAUCACUGGGUUUGGAUCUGAUGAGUCGUGUGCUACCAUGUUACCAUGUGUGGCAUCGACUUCAAGUGUGUACUACACACACACGCACACGGCGGAAUAUGUGCGCGCGGUUACUGACGUGAUAAGAGUGUGCUCUCUUCUCGUCAGACACCACGCAAUUCUCAAUUCCCACGUGCCAGUCAUAGGUUCACACACACAAAAUCUCGAUCUCAAAUUAGGUAGGACUACCCGCUGAAUUUAAGCAUAUCAAUAAGCGGAGGA